CCUACGGGUGGCAGCAGUGGGGAAUAUUGGACAAUGGGCGAAAGCCUGAUCCAGCCAUGCCGCGUGUGUGAAGAAGGCCUUCGGGUUGUAAAGCACUUUCAGUGGGGAAGAAAGCCUUGGGGCUAAUACCCUCGAGGAAGGACAUCACCCACAGAAGAAGCACCGGCUAACUCCGUGCCAGCAGCCGCGGUAAUACGGAGGGUGCGAGCGUUAAUCGGAAUUACUGGGCGUAAAGGGCGCGUAGGCGGUCUGAUAAGCCGGUUGUGAAAGCCCCGGGCUCAACCUGGGAACGGCAUCCGGAACUGUCAGGCUAGAGUGCAGGAGAGGAAGGUAGAAUUCCCGGUGUAGCGGUGAAAUGCGUAGAGAUCGGGAGGAAUACCAGUGGCGAAGGCGGCCUUCUGGACUGACACUGACGCUGAGGUGCGAAAGCGUGGGUAGCAAACAGGAUUAGAUACCCGAGUAGUC
RNAcentral lists this ribosomal RNA (465 nucleotides) under Vreelandella stevensii. Its description in RNAcentral is "partial 16S ribosomal RNA". It matches the Rfam family "Bacterial small subunit ribosomal RNA", at positions 338 to 795 of the family's 1533-position model. Lineage: Bacteria; Pseudomonadati; Pseudomonadota; Gammaproteobacteria; Oceanospirillales; Halomonadaceae. The record is from RNAcentral.